AGAACAAAGGCCUGGAGACUGGAACGAGCUGCGUUCUUGGGGGUGGGGGGUGGCAGCUGGAGAGUGGGGGCUUCCCCAGCGGGAGGGGGAGGACGAUUCUGGAGGGCUUCCCUCCUUGUGUGCAGAGUGAGUCUCUGCUAUGAGAAAGUAGAGACGGGGUUUCACCGUCUUA
This 172-nucleotide long non-coding RNA is filed under the name Pongo abelii (Sumatran orangutan). RNAcentral's name for it is "lincRNA". Lineage: Eukaryota; Metazoa; Chordata; Mammalia; Primates; Hominidae. The record is from RNAcentral.